This 485-nucleotide ribosomal RNA is filed under the name uncultured bacterium. RNAcentral describes it as "partial 16S ribosomal RNA". It matches the Rfam family "Bacterial small subunit ribosomal RNA", at positions 30 to 507 of the family's 1533-position model. The record is from RNAcentral.
AUUGAACGCUGGCGGCAUGCCUUACACAUGCAAGUCGAACGGCAGCACGGGUGCUUGCACCUGGUGGCGAGUGGCGAACGGGUGAGUAAUACAUCGGAACAUGUCCUGUAGUGGGGGAUAGCCCGGCGAAAGCCGGAUUAAUACCGCAUACGAUCUACGGAUGAAAGCGGGGGACCUUCGGGCCUCGCGCUAUAGGGUUGGCCGAUGGCUGAUUAGCUAGUUGGUGGGGUAAAGGCCUACCAAGGCGACGAUCAGUAGCUGGUCUGAGAGGACGACCAGCCACACUGGGACUGAGACACGGCCCAGACGCCUACGGGGGCAGCAGUGGGGAAUUUUGGACAAUGGGCGAAAGCCUGAUCCAGCAAUGCCGCGUGUGUGAAGAAAGCCUUCGGGUUGUAAAGCACUUUUGUCCGGAAAGAAAUCCUUGGCCCUAAUACGGUCGGGGGAUGACGGUACCGGAAGAAUAAGCACCGGCUAACUACGUG